RNAcentral lists this small nucleolar RNA (108 nucleotides) under Zea mays. RNAcentral describes it as "Small nucleolar RNA Z103". It matches the Rfam family "Small nucleolar RNA Z103". Rfam says of the family: This family consists of several snoRNA Z103 sequences which are members of the C/D class of snoRNA which contain the C (UGAUGA) and D (CUGA) box motifs. This family seems to be found exclusively in plants. C/D box small nucleolar RNAs are known to act as a methylation guides for 18S ribosomal RNA. The record is from Rfam by way of RNAcentral. Lineage: Eukaryota; Viridiplantae; Streptophyta; Magnoliopsida; Poales; Poaceae.
UUUGAUGUGAUGAUCCUUUCCCCAAAUUACCGACUUUGAUUAUACUGUGCGAUUUUUCGAGUUCCGUCUCCUCGGAGAUGGGAUCUUAAGCCAGAUGUUCUGAUCGAA